CUACGGGGCGCUGCAGUGGGGAAUAUUGCACAAUGGGCGCAAGCCUGAUGCAGCCAUGCCGCGUGUAUGAAGAAGGCCUUCGGGUUGUAAAGUACUUUCAGCGGGGAGGAAGGGAGUAAAGUUAAUACCUUUGCUCAUUGACGUUACCCGCAGAAGAAGCACCGGCAAACUCCGUGCCAGCAGCCGCGGUAAUACGGAGGGUGCAAGCGUUAAUCGGAAUUACUGGGCGUAAAGCGCACGCAGGCGGUUUGUUAAGUCAGAUGUGAAAUCCCCGGGCUCAACCUGGGAACUGCAUCUGAUACUGGCAAGCUUGAGUCUCGUAGAGGGGGGUAGAAUUCCAGGUGUAGCAGUGAAAUGCAUAGAGAUCUGGAGGAAUACCGGUGGCGAAGGCGGCCCCCUGGACGAAGACUGACGCUCAGGUGCGAAAGCGUGGGGAGCAAACAGGAUUAGAUACCCGAGUAGUC
This 464-nucleotide ribosomal RNA is filed under the name uncultured bacterium. RNAcentral describes it as "partial 16S ribosomal RNA". It matches the Rfam family "Bacterial small subunit ribosomal RNA", at positions 339 to 795 of the family's 1533-position model. The record is from RNAcentral.